UAAGGAAUAUUGGUCAAUGGACGCAAGUCUGAACCAGCCAUGCCGCGUGAAGGAUGAAGGUCCUCUGGAUUGUAAACUUCUUUUAUCUGGGACGAAAACGGGAUUUUUAUCUCAAUUGACGGUACCAGAGGAAUAAGCACCGGCUAACUCCGUGCCAGCAGCCGCGGUAAUACGGAGGGUGCGAGCGUUAUCCGGAUUUACUGGGUUUAAAGGGUGCGUAGGUGGGCUUAUAAGUCAGUGGUGAAAUCUCCGAGCUUAACUUGGAAACUGCCGUUGAUACUAUAGGUCUUGAAUUAUCUGGAGGUAAGCGUAAUAUGUCAUGUAGCGGUGAAAUGCUUAGAUAUGACAUAGAACACCAAUUGCGAAGGCAGCUUACUACAUAUAAAUUGACGCUGAGGCACGAAAGCGUGGGGAUCAAACA
RNAcentral lists this ribosomal RNA (421 nucleotides) under uncultured bacterium. Its description in RNAcentral is "bacterial SSU rRNA". It matches the Rfam family "Bacterial small subunit ribosomal RNA", at positions 355 to 774 of the family's 1533-position model. The record is from RNAcentral.